CAGGUCGCGAGCAGAGUCAGGGCUUUGACGCGCCAAAUUUAAGACCCGAAUUCAAUCCUUGGCACCACACGUUCCUCGAAACCCUGAACCUCUGUAGCUCAUACCAUUUUUUGUCAACAAAAAAACAAUAUAUUCUUAUUUUUACACCUAAUGAUUUUGUAAUUGUGGCCACAAGAGGCAUUGUCGACACUACCACUAUCGAGCGGGCAGUUGAGGGAAGUCUUAACCCCUCCUUUUCCCCCCACGGUCACGAAAAGUGUUAGUUCACUGACCUGAAUUUAAAUAAUAUUAUUCUAAACAACGCUGUACGUGGUCUUAAACAUUUGCCAGCCAUACAUAUGUAAUAAAGGACUAACUAAAGAAAGUUUUAGUUUGGUUUAGUCUUUUUUCCUCAUGUUAAGGUCAGUGGACUUAAAUUAAGGAAACUUUCUUUCCGUGUGCGCGACAAACAUUUUGCUAAACAUAUGAAAGUUGUUCGGAAAACCGUCUUAAAAAGUUAUAUGCAUAAAAACAGCAAGAAAAAACGAUAUGGUCGAUUUCCUGAUUUGGCGAUUUGUGGGCGUUAAAGAUGGCACUGGGCUGAAGUAAAUAUCGGCUUCAGAGGACUAUUAUAACCUAUAUUAAGCAUUGUAGCUCUUUAGCUUUCAAAAUGUUGUCUCUUUAAUGAUGGCCCGACUUAACAAAUUGUUGGUUCGUUUGAUGGGAUUUUAUAAGUAUACCCUUGCAGAGGGUAUUAUGAUUUAAAUCAGAAGUUUGCAACGCAGUGGACAAGACGUUUUCAACUCAAUAAAGUACAUAUAGUAGUGUAAAAGGCGAAACCAGCCGGAUCGGACAACUAUAUCUUAGAGCUCCCAUAGGAAUAAUUGAGGAAAAAAAUGUGGUGUUUUUUAACAUAACCUCCUACGAUUGGAAAAACCAUUUCUUAAUUAUUUUUGAUUUUUGGAUUUAAUUGUAUCAAAAUAUAUAGCUGCUGUAUAACCGAUCGAAAAAAUUGCGGGAAAUACAAUUGUAUUGGGAAUACAAUUUUUUGUACUUUUAAGAAAUUUGAAUUAAAUUUAAUAAAAAUCGAACAA
RNA transcript from Drosophila biarmipes, 1073 nucleotides. RefSeq lists it as uncharacterized. The transcript is spliced from 2 exons. NCBI's taxonomy places the organism in Eukaryota, Metazoa, Arthropoda, Insecta, Diptera, Drosophilidae. The record is from RefSeq and is a predicted model, not a curated record.